RNAcentral lists this ribosomal RNA (354 nucleotides) under uncultured Dothideales. RNAcentral describes it as "SSU rRNA". It matches the Rfam family "Eukaryotic small subunit ribosomal RNA", at positions 21 to 375 of the family's 1831-position model. Lineage: Eukaryota; Fungi; Ascomycota; Dothideomycetes; Dothideales. The record is from RNAcentral.
UUGUAGUCAUAUGCUUGUCUCAAAGAUUAAGCCAUGCAUGUCUAAGUAUAAGCAACUAUACGGUGAAACUGCGAAUGGCUCAUUCAAUCAGUUAUCGUUUAUUUGAUAGUACCUUACUACUUGGAUAACCGUGGUAAUUCUAGAGCUAAUACAUGCUAAAAACCCCAACUUCGGAAGGGGUGUAUUUAUUAGAUAAAAAACCAACGCCCUUCGGGGCUCCUUGGUGAUUCAUAAUAACUAAACGAAUCGCAUGGCCUUGCGCCGGCGAUGGUUCCAUCAAAUUUCUGCCCUAUCAACUUUCGAUGGUAGGAUAGUGGCCUACCAAGGUAUCAACGGGUAACGGGGAAUGGGGCG